This 289-nucleotide ribosomal RNA is filed under the name Planctomycetota bacterium. Its description in RNAcentral is "Planctomycetes bacterium (hydrothermal vent metagenome) partial 16S ribosomal RNA". It matches the Rfam family "Bacterial small subunit ribosomal RNA", at positions 1 to 288 of the family's 1533-position model. Lineage: Bacteria; Pseudomonadati; Planctomycetota. The record is from RNAcentral.
AAUUGAAGGGUUUGAUCCUGGCUCAGAAUGAACGUUGGCGGCAUGGAUUAGGCAUGCAAGUCGAGCGAGAAGUUGUAGUUUGAAGCUUCGGUUGAUGACUAUGACGGACAGCGGCGCAAGGGAGAGUAACGCGUAGUUAUCUGCCCCCGAGUUCGGGAUAGCCACGGGAAACUGUGAGUAAUACCGAAUAAUAUCUCCGGAUCAAAGGUGUGAUUCCGCUUGGGGAGGAGACUGCGUACUACUAGCUUGUUGGUGGGGUAAUGGCCUACCAAGGCUUUGAUGGUUAGCG